RNAcentral lists this long non-coding RNA (511 nucleotides) under Phoenix dactylifera (date palm). RNAcentral's name for it is "long non-coding RNA (PDAC_LNC001090)". Lineage: Eukaryota; Viridiplantae; Streptophyta; Magnoliopsida; Arecales; Arecaceae. The record is from RNAcentral.
UCCAACCCAUUUACAUGUUGAUUUUGGGAGAGUAGCUUGAGAUAAAUACGUUUGACUUUGAUCGACAUAUGGUUUAACUUAUAUAGAACAUUUUGACAUGUUUCACAUUAGAGAAUUUAUAUUAAUGUCUUAGAAUUUGAAUUUUUGCAUGUGCUCCUCUCUUUAUUGAUUAAUCAUAUAUAUAUAUAAAGACACAUUCUAUAUAUUUAUAGAUCCAAAAACUUGCUUUAUCCCAUAAAUUGUCUAAAAGAACUCAUUAAUUUUCCAUUAACCAUAGUGGAAUAUCAAUUUUGUUUGUUCCUCUCUUCACUCGGCUCUUUGGAGCUUCUAACUGGUUGGUUACAUUACUUUCCAAUGGUAUUGUCUCUAAAUUCGAGUCAAAUCAAGAUCUCAAUUCUAUCAUCAAUGGCAACAAGAAAUUAAAAUUUUCUGGUGGUGAUGGUGUCGAGAAGCACAAGUGGCUUGUGAGAAGUUGCUGAGGAUUGACUAAAGAGUUGAAUUGAACAAAAAA